UACAGAGGUCUCAAGCGUUGUUCGGCUUCAUUGGGCGUAAAGGGCGCGUAGGCGGCGCCGUAAGUCGGGUGUGAAAUUUCGGGGCUUAACUCCGAAACUGCAUUCGAUACUGCGGUGCUUGAGGACUGGAGAGGAGACUGGAAUUUACGGUGUAGCAGUGAAAUGCGUAGAGAUCGUAAGGAAGACCAGUGGCGAAGGCGGGUCUCGGGACAGUUCCUGACACUGAGGCGCGAAGGCCAGGGGAGCAAACGGG
This 253-nucleotide ribosomal RNA is filed under the name uncultured bacterium. RNAcentral describes it as "partial 16S ribosomal RNA". It matches the Rfam family "Bacterial small subunit ribosomal RNA", at positions 524 to 776 of the family's 1533-position model. The record is from RNAcentral.